RNAcentral lists this ribosomal RNA (1136 nucleotides) under uncultured bacterium. RNAcentral describes it as "bacterial SSU rRNA". It matches the Rfam family "Bacterial small subunit ribosomal RNA", at positions 258 to 1395 of the family's 1533-position model. The record is from RNAcentral.
UAACGGCCCACCUAGUCAACGAUGGAUAGGGGUUCUGAGAGGAAGGUCCCCCACAUUGGAACUGAGACACGGUCCAAACUCCUACGGGAGGCAGCAGUGAGGAAUAUUGGUCAAUGGGCGAUGGCCUGAACCAGCCAAGUAGCGUGAAGGAUGACUGCCCUAUGGGUUGCAAACUUCUUUUAUAAAGGAAUAAAGUCGGGUAUGCAUACCCGUUUGCAUGUACUUUAUGAAUAAGGAUCGGCUAACUCCGUGCCAGCAGCCGCGGUAAUACGGAGGAUCCGAGCGUUAUCCGGAUUUAUUGGGUUUAAAGGGAGCGUAGAUGGAUGUUUAAGUCAGUUGUGAAAGUUUGCGGCUCAACCGUAAAAUUGCAGUUGAUACUGGAUGUCUUGAGUGCAGUUGAGGCAGGCGGAAUUCGUGGUGUAGCGGUGAAAUGCUUAGAUAUCACGAAGAACUCCGAUUGCGAAGGCAGCCUGCUAAGCUGCAACUGACAUUGAGGCUCGAAAGUGUGGGUAUCAAACAGGAUUAGAUACCCUGGUAGUCCACACGGUAAACGAUGAAUACUCGCUGUUUGCGAUAUACGGCAAGCGGCCAAGCGAAAGCGUUAAGUAUUCCACCUGGGGAGUACGCCGGCAACGGUGAAACUCAAAGGAAUUGACGGGGGCCCGCACAAGCGGAGGAACAUGUGGUUUAAUUCGAUGAUACGCGAGGAACCUUACCCGGGCUUAAAUUGCACUCGAAUGAUCCGGAAACGGUUCAGCUAGCAAUAGCGAGUGUGAAGGUGCUGCAUGGUUGUCGUCAGCUCGUGCCGUGAGGUGUCGGCUUAAGUGCCAUAACGAGCGCAACCCUUGUUGUCAGUUACUAACAGGUGAUGCUGAGGACUCUGACAAGACUGCCAUCGUAAGAUGUGAGGAAGGUGGGGAUGACGUCAAAUCAGCACGGCCCUUACGUCCGGGGCUACACACGUGUUACAAUGGGGGGUACAGAGGGCCGCUACCACGCGAGUGGAUGCCAAUCCCUAAAACCCCUCUCAGUUCGGACUGGAGUCUGCAACCCGACUCCACGAAGCUGGAUUCGCUAGUAAUCGCGCAUCAGCCACGGCGCGGUGAAUACGUUCCCGGGCCUUGCACACACCGCCC